UACGUAGGGUGCGAGCGUUAAUCGGAAUUACUGGGCGUAAAGCGUGCGCAGGCGGCUUGCCAAGUCAGAUGUGAAAGCCCCGGGCUCAACCCGGGAACUGCGUUUGAAACUGGCAGGCUAGAGUUUGGCAGAGGGGGGUGGAAUUCCACGUGUAGCAGUGAAAUGCGUAGAGAUGUGGAGGAACACCGAUGGCGAAGGCAGUCCCCUGGGCCAAAACUGACGCUCAGGCACGAAAGCGUGGGGAGCAAACAGG
Molecule: ribosomal RNA, 253 nt
Filed under: uncultured bacterium
Lineage: Bacteria
Description: partial 16S ribosomal RNA
Rfam family: Bacterial small subunit ribosomal RNA
Source: RNAcentral